This 202-nucleotide long non-coding RNA is filed under the name Mytilus galloprovincialis (Mediterranean mussel). The record is from RNAcentral. Lineage: Eukaryota; Metazoa; Mollusca; Bivalvia; Mytilida; Mytilidae.
UGGAAGAAUUGAAGCCAAACUAGUAUACUUUUUUGACGUAAAAUGUCGUUUUAUGUACAAAACACUUGGAAUGGACAUCGUUCAGUGUGAGGAAUAUGUACAGCCUCAUAAAAAUUUUCAAAAUUUUGCCGUUUUGGGUUUAAAAAUUACGAUUUGGGGUCUAAGAGCAGAAUUUUGAGAAUUUCACCUAGAUAAUGCCGAA